GCGGCUCGGGGCUGGUCCUUCAGUCAGCUCGGGGCUGAGGCUGCUGGGUUUGUCCUCAUCGGCGAGAAGAGCACAGAACUGUGCAGGCGAAUACAGGAUAAUUUUCAGUGAGCUGGGAUGGAGAGACAUGGGACCUACCUGGAGCAUUUGGUUUUGGAUUUCUAGAGGGAGCCUCUUUAUGUCAGAGAGAAGAAUGGGAAGAGACAUUUCCCAAGAAUUUAAAGGAGCUACGCUACAA
Long non-coding RNA from Hyaena hyaena (striped hyena), 238 nucleotides. RefSeq lists it as uncharacterized. The record is from RefSeq and is a predicted model, not a curated record. The transcript is spliced from 3 exons. NCBI's taxonomy places the organism in Eukaryota, Metazoa, Chordata, Mammalia, Carnivora, Hyaenidae.